This 379-nucleotide ribosomal RNA is filed under the name uncultured eukaryote. Its description in RNAcentral is "partial 18S ribosomal RNA". It matches the Rfam family "Eukaryotic small subunit ribosomal RNA", at positions 592 to 975 of the family's 1831-position model. The record is from RNAcentral.
CAAUAGCGUAUAUUAAAGUUGUUGCAGUUAAAAAGCUCGUAGUUGGAUUUGUGGUGUAUAGUGCGUUCCGGGCACUUGUUGUCUGAGUAACUUGCUGUUGCCAUCCUUGGGUGGAACCUGUGUGGCAUUAGGUUGUCGUGCAGGGGAUGCCCAUCGUUUACUGUGAAAAAAUUAGAGUGUUCAAAGCAGGCUUACGCCGUUGAAUAUAUUAGCAUGGAAUAAUAAGAUAGGACUUUUUCGCUAUUUUGUUGGUUUGCGCGAGAAGGUAAUGAUUAAUAGGGACAGUUGGGGGUAUUCGUAUUCCAUUGUCAGAGGUGAAAUUCUUGGAUUUUUGGAAGACGAACUACUGCGAAAGCAUUUACCAAGGAUGUUUUCAUUA